This 280-nucleotide unclassified non-coding RNA is filed under the name uncultured fungus. Its description in RNAcentral is "sequence contains ITS1, 5.8S rRNA gene". The stretch from base 232 to 280 matches the Rfam family "5.8S ribosomal RNA", at positions 1 to 49 of the family's 154-position model. The record is from RNAcentral. Lineage: Eukaryota; Fungi.
UUUCCGUAGGUGAACCUGCGGAAGGAUCAUUACCGAGUUUGAAAGGGGGACUUGAGCUGGCCUCUCGGGGCAAGUGCUCGGUCCUCUGCUCAUCCAUCUACCCCUGUGCACCUAUUGUGGGUACUAUGUCGCGGAAGGGGGCUGGAUAACGGCCUUUGGAUGCGCAUAUACUCAUGUUUUACACACUACGCAUGUCCUAGAAUGUCAUUUGCGAUAAUCGCAGUUAAAUACAACUUUCAACAACGGAUCUCUUGGCUCUCGCAUCGAUGAAGAACGCAGC